GACGAACGCUGGCGGCGUGCUUAACACAUGCAAGUCGAACGGAAAGGCCCUGCUUUUGUGGGGUGCUCGAGUGGCGAACGGGUGCGUAACACGUAAGUAACCUGCCCUUGCCUUUGGGAUAACUUCAGGAAACUGGGGCUAAUACCGGAUAGGAGCUCCUGCUGCAUGGUGGGGGUUGGAAAGUUUCGGCGGGUGGGGAUGGACUCGCGGCUUAUCAGCUUGUUGGUGGGGUAGCGGCUUACCAAGGCUUUGACGGGUAGCCGGCCUGAGAGGGUGACCGGCCACAUUGGGACUGAGAUACGGGCCAGACUCCUACGGGAGGCAGCAGUGGGGAAUAUUGCACAAUGGGCGGAAGCCUGAUGCAGCAACGCCGCGUGCGGGAUGACGGCCUUCGGGUUGUAAACCGCUUUCGCCUGUGACGAAGCGUGAGUGACGGUAAUGGGUAAAGAAGCACCGGCUAACUACGUG
This 468-nucleotide ribosomal RNA is filed under the name uncultured bacterium. Its description in RNAcentral is "partial 16S ribosomal RNA". It matches the Rfam family "Bacterial small subunit ribosomal RNA", at positions 28 to 507 of the family's 1533-position model. The record is from RNAcentral.